This 2225-nucleotide small RNA is filed under the name Pongo abelii (Sumatran orangutan). Its description in RNAcentral is "retained intron". Lineage: Eukaryota; Metazoa; Chordata; Mammalia; Primates; Hominidae. The record is from RNAcentral.
GGAGGUGGGAGAUCUUCAAAGGGAUUCAUGAGGCCUGUUCCUGUGAGAGGGGUCCAUUCACUCCACCCCCGCCCCUUUGGGGGACCUGUUUCUUUGCCUUGGCUCAGAACUGGGAGGUGCAGAUGGGGCCUCAGACUCUACAGACAGCCCAGCCUCCUGCCAGAAGAAAUCUGCGGGAUGUUUUUCCGGCGCCAUUACCCACUCACCACCCUCCGCUUCUGUGGUAUGGACCCUGAGCAACGGAAGUGGCAGAAGUACUGCAAACCCUCCUGGAUCUUUGGGUUUGUGGCCAAGAGCCAGACAGAGCCUCAGGAGAACGUGUGCCACCUCUUUGCGGAGUAUGACACGGUCCAGCCAGCCUCGCAGGUCAUCAGCCUGGUGACUGCUCUGCUGCAGGACGCAGAAAGGAUGUAGGGGAGAGACUGCCUGUGCACCUAACCAACACCUCCAGGGGCUCGCCAAGGAGCCCCCCUCCACCCCCUGAAUGGGUGUGGCUUGUGGCCAUAUUGACAGACCAAUCUAUGAGACUAGGGGGAUUGGCAUCAAGCUGACACCCUUGAACCUGCUAUGGCCUUCAGCAGUCACCAUCAUCCAGAGCCCCCGGGCCUCAGUUUGCUCAACCAUAGAAGGAGACCAAUAGACAAGAUCAGCUGUUCUCAGAUGCUGGUGGGCAUUUGAACAUGCUCCUCCAUGAUUCUGAAGCAUGCACACCUCUGAAGACCCCUGCAUGAAAAUAACUUCCAAGGACCCUCUGACCCCAUCGACCUGGGCUCUGCUGACACAACAGUCUGAGCGAGAGACCUGCAGCCCCUGCUUCAUGGCAGACAGCAGGUGCCUGGCGGUGACCCACGGGGCUCCUGGCUUGCAGCUGGUGAUGGUCAAGAAUUGACUACAAAACGGGAAUGGAUAGACUCUAUUUCCUUCCAUAUCUGUUCCUCUGUUCCUUUUCCCACUUUCUGGGUGGCUUUUUGGGUCCACCCAGCCAGGAUGCUGCAGGCCAAGCUGGGUGUGGCAUUUAGGGCAGCUCAGCAGGGGGAACUUGUCCCCAUGGUCAGAGGAGACCCAGCUGUCCUGCACCCCUCUGCAGAUGAGUAUCACCCCAUCUUUUCUUCCCACUUCUUUUUUAUUUUUUAUUUUUUUGAGAUGGAGUCUCACUGUCACCCAGGCUGAACUGCAGUGGUGUGAUCUAGGCUCACUGCAACCUCCACCUCCCAGGUUCAAGCAAUUAUCCUGCCUCAGGCUCCCGAGUAGCUGGGAUUACAGGCAUGUGCCACUCACCCAGCUAAUUUUGUAUUUUUAGUAGUGACAGGGUUUCACCAUAUUGGCCAGGCUGGUCUUGAACUCCUGACCUCAGGUAAUCCACCUGCUUCAGCCUCCCAAAGUGCUGGGAUUACAGGCGCAAGCCACCGGGCCCAGCUUCUUUCCAUUCCUUGAUAGGUGAGUAUUCCAAAGCUGGUAUCGUAGCUGCCCUAAUGUUGCAUAUUAGGCGGUGGGGGCAGAGAUAAGGGCCAUCCCUCUGUGAUUCUGCCUCAGCUCUUGUCUUGCUGAGCCCUCCCCCAACCCACGCUCCAACACACACACACACACACACACACACACACACACACACACACACACACACACACACACACACACCACACACACACACACACACACACACACACACACACACACACACACACACACACGCCCCUCUACUGCUAUGUGGCUUCAACCAGCCUCACAGCCACACGGGGGCAGCAGAGAGUCAAGAAUGCAAAGAGGCCGCUUCCCUAAGAGGCUUGGAGGAGCUGGGCUCUAUCCCACCCCCACCCCCACCCCCACCCAGCCUCCAGAAGCUGGAAUCUUUUCUCCCGCAGGCCUGAGUUCCUAAGGAAACCACACUACCGGGGUGGAAGGGAGGGUCAGGGAAGAAACCCACUCUUGCUCUACGAGGAGCAAGUGCCUGCCCCCUCCCAGCAGCCAGCCCUGCCAAAGUUGCAUUAUCUUUGGCCAAGGCUGGGCCUGAUGGUUAUGAUUUCAGCCCUGGGCCUGCGGGAGAGGCUGAGACCAGCCCUCCCAGCCGGUGGUCGAGCACUGCCCCGCCGCCAAAGUCUGCAGAAUGUGAGAUGAGGUUCUCAAGGUCACAGGCCCCAGUCCCAGCCUGGGGGCUGGCAGAGGCCCCCAUAUACUCCGCUACAGCUCCUAUCAUGAAAAAUAAAAUGUUUGUCUUUGCGAAACAGUCA